UUAAGCGACUAAGCGUACACGGUGGAUGCCCUGGCAGUCAGAGGCGAUGAAGGACGUGCUAAUCUGCGAAAAGCGUCGGUAAGGUGAUAUGAACCGUUAUAACCGGCGAUGUCCGAAUGGGGAAACCCAGUGUGAUUCGUCACACUAUCGUUAACUGAAUACAUAGGUUAACGAGGCGAACCGGGGGAACUGAAACAUCUAAGUACCCCGAGGAAAAGAAAUCAACCGAGAUUCCCCCAGUAGCGGCGAGCGAACGGGGAGCAGCCCAGAGUCUGAAUCAGCUUGUGUGUUAGUGGAACGGUCUGGAAAGUCCGACGGUACAGGGUGAUAGUCCCGUACACCAAAAUGCACAGGCUGUGAACUCGAAGAGUAGGGCGGGACACGUGGUAUCCUGUCUGAAUAUGGGGGGACCAUCCUCCAAGGCUAAAUACUCCUGACUGACCGAUAGUGAACCAGUACCGUGAGGGAAAGGCGAAAAGAACCCCGGCGAGGGGAGUGAAAAAGAACCUGAAACCGUGUACGUACAAGCAGUGGGAGCACCUUCGGGUGUGACUGCGUACCUUUUGUAUAAUGGGUCAGCGACUUAUAUUCUGUAGCAAGGUUAACCGUAUAGGGGAGCCGCAGGGAAACCGAGUCUUAACUGGGCGUUAAGUUGCAGGGUAUAGACCCGAAACCCGGUGAUCUAGCCAUGGGCAGGUUGAAGGUUGGGUAACACUAACUGGAGGACCGAACCGACUAAUGUUGAAAAAUUAGCGGAUGACUUGUGGCUGGGGGUGAAAGGCCAAUCAAACCGGGAGAUAGCUGGUUCUCCCCGAAAGCUAUUUAGGUAGCGCCUCGUGAACUCAUCUUCGGGGGUAGAGCACUGUUUCGGCUAGGGGGUCAUCCCGACUUACCAACCCGAUGCAAACUACGAAUACCGAAGAAUGUUAUCACGGGAGACACACGGCGGGUGCUAACGUCCGUCGUGAAGAGGGAAACAACCCAGACCGCCAGCUAAGGUCCCAAAGUCAUGGUUAAGUGGGAAACGAUGUGGGAAGGCACAGACAGCCAGGAUGUUGGCUUAGAAGCAGCCAUCAUUUAAAGAAAGCGUAAUAGCUCACUGGUCGAGUCGGCCUGCGCGGAAGAUGUAACGGGGCUAAACCAUGCACCGAAGCUGCGGCAGCGACACUAUGUGUUGUUGGGUAGGGGAGCGUUCUGUAAGCCUGCGAAGGUGACCUGUGAGGGUUGCUGGAGGUAUCAGAAGUGCGAAUGCUGACAUAAGUAACGAUAAAGCGGGUGAAAAGCCCGCUCGCCGGAAGACCAAGGGUUCCUGUCCAACGUUAAUCGGGGCAGGGUGAGUCGACCCCUAAGGCGAGGCCGAAAGGCGUAGUCGAUGGGAAACAGGUUAAUAUUCCUGUACUUGGUGUUACUGCGAAGGGGGGACGGAGAAGGCUAUGUUAGCCGGGCGACGGUUGUCCCGGUUUAAGCAUGUAGGCUGGUUAUCCAGGCAAAUCCGGAUAAUCAAGGCUGAGGUGUGAUGACGAGGCACUACGGUGCUGAAGUAACAAAUGCCCUGCUUCCAGGAAAAGCCUCUAAGCAUCAGGUAACAUCAAAUCGUACCCCAAACCGACACAGGUGGUCAGGUAGAGAAUACCAAGGCGCUUGAGAGAACUCGGGUGAAGGAACUAGGCAAAAUGGUGCCGUAACUUCGGGAGAAGGCACGCUGGUGUGUAGGUGAAGUCCCUGCGGAUGGAGCUGAGACCAGUCGAAGAUACCAGCUGGCUGCAACUGUUUAUUAAAAACACAGCACUGUGCAAACACGAAAGUGGACGUAUACGGUGUGACGCCUGCCCGGUGCCGGAAGGUUAAUUGAUGGGGUUAUCCGUAAGGAGAAGCUCUUGAUCGAAGCCCCGGUAAACGGCGGCCGUAACUAUAACGGUCCUAAGGUAGCGAAAUUCCUUGUCGGGUAAGUUCCGACCUGCACGAAUGGCGUAAUGAUGGCCAGGCUGUCUCCACCCGAGACUCAGUGAAAUUGAACUCGCUGUGAAGAUGCAGUGUACCCGCGGCAAGACGGAAAGACCCCGUGAACCUUUACUAUAGCUUGACACUGAACAUUGAGCCUUGAUGUGUAGGAUAGGUGGGAGGCUUUGAAGCGUGGACGCCAGUCUGCGUGGAGCCAACCUUGAAAUACCACCCUUUAAUGUUUGAUGUUCUAACGUUGGCCCCUUACCGGGGUUGCGGACAGUGUCUGGUGGGUAGUUUGACUGGGGCGGUCUCCUCCCAAAGCGUAACGGAGGAGCACGAAGGUUAGCUAAUCCUGGUCGGACAUCAGGAGGUUAGUGCAAUGGCAUAAGCUAGCUUGACUGCGAGCGUGACGGCGCGAGCAGGUGCGAAAGCAGGUCAUAGUGAUCCGGUGGUUCUGAAUGGAAGGGCCAUCGCUCAACGGAUAAAAGGUACUCCGGGGAUAACAGGCUGAUACCGCCCAAGAGUUCAUAUCGACGGCGGUGUUUGGCACCUCGAUGUCGGCUCAUCACAUCCUGGGGCUGAAGUAGGUCCCAAGGGUAUGGCUGUUCGCCAUUUAAAGUGGUACGCGAGCUGGGUUUAGAACGUCGUGAGACAGUUCGGUCCCUAUCUGCCGUGGGCGCUGGAGAAUUGAGGGGGGCUGCUCCUAGUACGAGAGGACCGGAGUGGACGCAUCACUGGUGUUCGGGUUGUCAUGCCAAUGGCACUGCCCGGUAGCUAAAUGCGGAAGAGAUAAGUGCUGAAAGCAUCUAAGCACGAAACUUGCCCCGAGAUGAGUUCUCCCUGAGACUUUAAGUCUCCUGAAGGAACGUUGAAGACGACGACGUUGAUAGGCCGGGUGUGUAAGCGCAGCGAUGCGUUGAGCUAACCGGUACUAAUGAACCGUGAGGCUUAACCUU
Molecule: ribosomal RNA, 2900 nt
Filed under: Klebsiella pneumoniae
Lineage: Bacteria; Pseudomonadati; Pseudomonadota; Gammaproteobacteria; Enterobacterales; Enterobacteriaceae
Description: bacterial LSU rRNA
Rfam family: Bacterial large subunit ribosomal RNA
Source: RNAcentral